This 433-nucleotide ribosomal RNA is filed under the name uncultured bacterium. Its description in RNAcentral is "bacterial SSU rRNA". It matches the Rfam family "Bacterial small subunit ribosomal RNA", at positions 954 to 1390 of the family's 1533-position model. The record is from RNAcentral.
GCUAAACGCGAAGAACCUUACCAAGGCUUGACAUGCAGGGAAAUCUCGUAGAGAUACGGGGUCCGCAAGGGCUCUGCACAGGUGGUGCAUGGUUGUCGUCAGCUCGUGUCGUGAGAUGUUGGGUUAAGUCCCGCAACGAGCGCAACCCUUGUCCUUAGUUGCCAUCAUUUAGUUGGGAACUCUAAGGAGACCGCCGGUGACAAACCGGAGGAAGGUGGGGAUGACGUCAAGUCAUCAUGGCCUUUAUGGCCAGGGCUACACACGUGCUACAAUGGCAGGUACAGAGGGAAGCCAACCGGCGACGGGGAGCUAAUCCCAGAAAGCCUGUCUUAGUCCGGAUUGCAGUCUGCAACUCGACUGCAUGAAGUUGGAAUCGCUAGUAAUCGCAGAUCAGCAUUGCUGCGGUGAAUACGUUCCCGGGUCUUGUACACAC